RNAcentral lists this long non-coding RNA (7467 nucleotides) under Lathyrus oleraceus (garden pea). Its description in RNAcentral is "Pisum sativum (pea) long non-coding RNA (PSAT_LNC004202)". Lineage: Eukaryota; Viridiplantae; Streptophyta; Magnoliopsida; Fabales; Fabaceae. The record is from RNAcentral.
AUGAGGUUAUGGAGAAUGAUAUGCUUAAAGAGAUUGCAGAUGCUCAUGGAAAGUCUGUUGCACAAAUUUCUCUGAGAUGGUUAUAUGAACAAGGAAUCACUUUUGUUCCAAAGAGCUAUGAUAAGGAGAGAAUGAGUCAAAAUUUGAGAAUCUUUGAUUGGACACUGACAAAGGAGGAUCAUGAGAAAAUUGAUCAAAUUAAGCAGAAUCGUUUGAUCCCUGGACCAACCAAGCCAAGUCUCAAUGAUCUUUGGGAUGAUGAAAUAUAAAAGAAAAGUUGCUAAAGUUAUUCAACUUUGCUUUGGCAUCUAUCUUUUCUGUUUAUUUUAUACUACUUGUUUCUUUUGAGCUUUGAAUUACCAAUGUUUUUGUAUUGGGUUUAAAUGAUCAAUUUUAAAUUUAAUAAUUUUCUCCAACAUAUCUUAUAAUAGUGUUUUACUUUACUGUCAUGAAAAUUGUAAUUUUUUUUAUCAAAAAAAAUUGUAUUGACUUGAUUAUACAAUUCAAUUAUAGGAUGUGUGUCCAACAAGUAAUAAUAUUAUACUAAGAAGUUGAAAGAGUGGUAUACAACUAAUAUCAAAACUUAAGAAUGCAUAAUCACCACAUUAUAACCCAACAAGCAGAAUGGUAGUUUGCAUUAUAUUUAAGAAAUUUAUGUUCAUGAUAGUGUGAAUGAGAAAUCAAUGAAAUUGUCCCAUGUAGAAAUGAGCAGUGCUAUAAACACUAAUUUGUUGAAUCCAUUUUUAAAAUGUUCAAUCUAAAUCAUAAUGGGCAACAAGAGUCAUGAUUGUCCUAAAAUAAUCUUUCGAUGAAACCGGCGAGAAAGUAUCUUUAAAGCCAAUCUCUUCCUUUUGAGUAUAAUCCUUAACAACAAGAUGGGUUUUAUACAUUUCCACAUUAUCGUUAAAAUCCUGCUUGGUCUUAAAAAUUCAUUUGCAACCAAUUGGUUUCACACCUUAUGGUAACAGGACAAGUUCCCAAACUUUAUUGUCUUGCAUGGACUUAUACCCCUCCUUCAUUGCUUCAAUUCACUUUUCCAAGUUGUAAUCUUGCAUGGAUUGAGGAAAGUUGAUUGGAUCAUCUUCCAUCAUACCAUUAUUUUCCUCAUGUUCUUGGAGAAAGAAUAUGUAAUCAUCCGGAAUAGCAUUUCUCCUUUCUCUAGUGGAUCUCCGCAAAGGUAUUGGUUCUUGUAACACUGGUUCUUGAGAAUCUUGAGUUUGUUCUUCAUGAAUUACUAAAUCAUCUUGAGUUUGAGGAAUUUCAACAAUUUCUUGUUGAGGUGUCGUUCUUACUUGAUCAAAAGCAACUAUUUGAAUUGGUUCUGGAAUUGUUAUAGAUUUUUCCUCUAAGACAAAGUCUCUAACCUUAUUAUUCCCCCCAAACUCAAUAUCCUCAAAAAAUAUGGUUGUUCCCGUCUCCAAAAUUGAAUUGAAUUUGGGAUCGUAAAAUUUGUAGCCCCUAGAUCUUUCAGAAUAGUCAAUAAAGUAGUUGCUUAUUGUUCGGGAGUCCAAUUUAUUUUCAUUUGGCAUGUAAGGUCUUAACUCAACUAGACAUCCCCACACAUGAAAAAAAAUUAGACUAGGCUUUCUCCUAGUCUAAAGCUCGUAAGGUGUUAUGGCAGUUGCCUUUAUUGGUACUCUAUUUAGGAUGUAAGUUGCAGUCUUUCUCCCCAGAGUGACUCCGGCAAGGUAGAAUGACAAAUCACACUCCUUACCAUAUUCUUAAGAGUCCGAUUUCGUUUUUCAGCAACACCAUUCAUAUUAUGAGAUCAUGGCAUGGUGUAUUGUGGGACGAUUCCACAUUCCUCCAGAUAUUUGGAAAAAGACUUUGGACGCUGUCCACCUGAACCGUCAUAUAUGUCGUAAUAUUCACCGUCACUGUCAGACUUGAUUUUCUUAAGUCUUUUGUUGAGUUGAUUCUCAACUUCAACCUUAAACGAUUUGAACACAUCCAAUGAUUGUGACUUUUCAUGUAUAAUAAAUAUGUGCGCAUAUCUAGAAUAGUCGUCUAUGGAUGAUAUAAAAUAUUGUUGCCCAUUCCAAGAAGGUGUGAUAAAUGAUCCACAAAUGUUUGUAUGUAUUAAUUUUAAGACAUCUAUAGCUCUAUAUGCAACAUAUGUCUUUGUUUUGGUUUGUUUACCUUUAACGCACUCAACACAAACAUCAAAGUUUGUGAAUUCAAUGGAAUCCAAAAUUCCAUCGGACACUGGUCGCUCAACUCUAUUUUAAGAGAUGUGAACAUAUGCACUUGUGUCAUAGUGCUCCUGAAUUGUUAUCAUCAAUUUUACGCUUAGUACCACGUGAUUCCACAAUUAAGGAUUUGCCAUAUGUAGCUAUUAUGUCAAGCAAAUAUAGAUUAUUAUGACCCGUAAGUGAUCAGUUACAACAAUAUCUGAAGUGAAAUACAACUUGAACAUAUUGUUUCCAAAUGAACAAAAGUAACUUGAUUUUUCCAAAUAAGAAACUGAAAUUAAGUUUCGUCUGAAUGACGGAACCACAAAAGUGUUUUUCAAAUCCAAAUAAAAUCUGAUACACAUCAAUAAAAUAAAAUUCCUUACAGCUUCCACCUCUACCGAAUUGCCAUCUCCCACAUAGAUUUAUCUUUCAACAUCAUUUGGAUUCCGGUAGUUCAGGUAACCCUUCAUUGAAACAUUGAUGUUAGUAGUUGCUCCAGAGUCUAACCACCAAGUGUUUCCAGGUUCCUGAAGCUAAAUUGACCUCAGAACAAACCAAACCAUGACUUAUGCGAUUGGAGCGAUCCCGCUUCUCAUAAUUUUUCCUCUGUUUAGAGGUACUAGAUUCCGUAGGAGAAGAUGGUUUCUUCAUCCUUAAUGCAAGGUCAAGAUCCAUGUAGCCAGGAACAAUUUUUAUGUUUUCAUGCCAAUCCUUAAAAUUUAUCCCAUUAAGGACCGGAACCUUAUUCAUAUUAGCAUAUAUUAAAGCAAUUGUAGUUGAAAAAUAGAACAUAAUAAAUACUAUAAUAUACUUAUACAAAAAAAAAACCGAAUUAUAAAUUUGUUCAAAUAAAGACAUAACCCAUCUUAAGAUACCUAGUACAACAUCACUAUUGAGUCUUUGGACACUAAUAUUAACUGAUAGUGGUACUCUUGUUGUAACGAUUAAACAUUGAUAAUAAAAAAAUGUCAGAUAAUAAACCCCUCUUUGGAUUGAUUUAUUAUUCGCAUGUGAAACCUUAUAAUUAUAACAUGUUUACCAUCACAGACGCGUAUGAAAACUGACCAACCACCAACUGUCCUUUGGGUCAAUUGAUACUCGCAUGGAUAAGCAUACACAGCCAGAAAAAUAUUUAACAUUUUUCAUAAGUAAUUUCCACAAAAGAGAUCACUUUGGCGAUUUUUCAUUUCAACAACUCACUUAAAAGAUUAAACUUUGUAUAAAUUUAAAAACCAUAGCCAAAACUUGAACAAAAUUAUACAAAAAUUAAUGGAUGAAAUAACUAAGGGGCAUGAUCAUACAAACAAAAACGACAUGCCUGUGUUCCAAUCAGUGCUCUCUUUAUUAUGCGAAGCACAACAAAACAAUAACAAGUAAUAUAUUAUAUAUUAAUACUGAUAAUAAAAACAAAUUUAACAAAAUUAUUUAUUUAUUAUCAAAAUAACUUGUUUUAAUAAAUAAAUAAAAUUAAACAUAAACUUUAAAACAUGUGUGGCUCUAAAUUGUGUGUGACGUGUAUUAAGAAGGUUGUCAAUGCAAGGUAUGCAUUAACAGAACCUUAUUUUAAACAUUAUCGUGAAGACAUCACAUUAUCAAACGCAUAUGCAGUAAGGUGGAUCAAUAAUAUUCCAUUGGAAAAGUGGACUAGGGCAUGCGACAACGGUCAACGAUGGGGUCACAUGACAACAAAUCUUGUGGAAUCAAUGAACUUUGUCUUCAAAGGCAUCUGAAACCUACUUAUAACCGCUCUAGUGUAAGCAACUUAUUUUAGGCUAGGGACGCUGUUUUAGAUCAGACGUUCCAAAUGAAGUUUAGUGUUACAAUUUGGGCAGUUGUUCAGUGAUGCUUCAAUGAAAUUUAUUAAAGAGGAAGUUGUCAAAGCUAACACACAUGUGGUCAUGGUGUUUGACCGUACUAAAGGUUGAUACAGUGUUACUGGGUCAAUGGAUCACAAUGAAGGCAUGUCGAGGGAACACUAUCAAGUGGAACUAGAUAAAAGGUGGUGCGAUUGCGGAAAGUUUCAAGCAUUUUGUAUGUCAUGCUCCCAUCUCAUAGCGGCAUGUUCAAAGGUUCGACGGGAUCCUUCUAACUUAUUAUGUGACAUUUACAAAGUCAUAAUCAUUUGUAAUGUUUACAAAAUUAGCUUUUAGGUGGUAGCAAAGGAGGAUUACUGGUCUGCAUAUCAAGGGGACACUCUCUGACACAAAAAAAUAAUGUGAAGAAAGAAAAAGGGUCGCCCAAACAACACCCGUAUUCGAACCGAAAUGGAUACGACAAACAAAAUGGUUAGAUUGUGUAGUUCAUGUCGUCAUCCUGGUCAUAAGCACAACAAGAUAAUUUUAAUUGUAACUCUUUUACUUUAUAUUAAAAACAACAUUCAUUUCAUAUGACAAGUAGAACAAAUAUAAUGAUUAAACAACAACACAAGAAACUAAAACCAAUAAAAUAACGUCACAAAUAAAUACAACACAUAAACAAUAUAACUAUACGGUUACAACCAUCAAAACAAUUUUGUGAGAAGUAUACAUCAUCAUGUGAACGUCUCUGUCAGUUUUAAUAUUGACACAGAAACGAACUUCUCCAGUUUGGUUGAACGUCGUAUAAAGUCAUUGAAUUCUUCUGAUCCUUUCACCAUCUGCAAUGUCUUCAUCUAACCAACGGUUUAAGUACCUGUUAAGAUGUUCGAACUUAUCUACAUUCCAAAGUCGAAUCUUGAUCGGAGACUGCACUACUGAAAAGAUUAAAUCGCCACUUCUCUUGUGAAGACAUUUUAAAGAAUAUCAAAGGAGAUUGAAGAAAAAUGGAAUGAGAGAAUAAGAAGUUGUGUGAAAAAUUAUGGGAGUGUGAUGUUGUGUAUUUAUAGAUGCAGUGGUGGAGCAGUAGCCACAUGCAUUGGCGUACACGUAGAGUGGACUAUGCAUGCGCCAUUGUGUGUGGCACCUACACAUGCAUGCGCCACGGAUGUGUCAAUGCAUAUGGCGUCAAUGACUAAUAUUUUCAUUGGGUGCACCAAUGCAACUGGCACCUAGGUUAGAUGUUUUUUUGAAAGAUGAUUAUUUCGGUAAAUACUUUAAAAAAAUGGUUAUUUAAAAAUUUUAUUAAAAAAAUAGAUUAUUUAAAUAUAAAAAAAUCACCUCAAAUUAAUAAUACAAAUUAGAUUAUCAUGCACAACUUCUGACUUUUUUUCAAAAUUUAAAAAAAAAUAACUUAUUUAAUUAACAUAAUAAUUUUUAAGAAAUUAAAUAUGACCGUUUAUUAAUUAAGAAUUAAAGUGAGGGAAAUCCUCAAACCUUAAUUUAAUCUUUGAUUUGAACUCCAAUAUCUUAAGCCUUAUUCUUGAAUUUCUCAUUCCAAUUAAAUUAUUUAUAAGAUUAAACGAAUCAUCAAGAUAAGAAAAUGAUUCAUUUUUAAAUUGAUGUUAUAAUGAUAAUACGAUAUUUAUUAAUACUUUACAUACACUUUAAUAUAUUUCAGAAUAUUUAAAUUGUUCAUGAAUUGAUAAUUUUUUUUGUGUGAAUAUCAUAUUAUUUUUAUUUUUUUAGCAUGAAAGCUAAAGAAGUAAAAAGAAAAAUAUCCAAUUGUUUUUGUUGGUAGUAGCACCGGUUUGACAAGAAUUUGUUCGAUCCGGGUUUGCGUAUGCUCAUUGCUCAACUUGUUCCAAUUUGGAUUUUGGUGACAAACUUUAAUUCCCUGUCACCCACAAAAUAACACAAUAGCAGCCCCUUGCUCUGUAGAAAGGUCGUAACAUAAUUUCUCAAAUUCUUACUUUCUUUUUAGUAUUAAGAAACUCUCAAAUUUAUUUAUGGAAGAAUUACGUAAAAACCUAAGUUCGUGCCAUUAACUUGCCACCCUACAAGUCACUCUUAGAAAGAAUUUUAUAAAUAAAUAAACUUUUAUUAUUAUUAUAAAAUCUAGAUGGCUACCAAUAGUCAAUAAGAUAGCGAUGCAACAUGCAAAUUUCUAUACAAAAUGAAACAAACAAAAAAGGAGUCAAACAUGUAAUGUAUUAAUUAUAUACAUGCCACCACAAACUUUACUCAUUACAAUAUUAUUCAAUUAAAUCAAAUCAAGUGGUAGAAAUUAUCAUAAUCCACCUACCCUCUAAACAACAAAUAGAAUAGAAUAAUGCUACUCACCAUUUUUUAGCUAUAUAUAAUAGUUUCUAGCAUCAAACAUAAUACCUCAAAUUGAAACAACCUUACCUUAAACCUUCUCAACCCAACAACAACAACAAAAACAACAACAUGGGCAGUGUUGAAAUUCCAACAAAGGUUCUUACCAACACAUCUGCUCAAAUUAAGAUGCCUGUGGUUGGAAUGGGAUCAGCACCUGACUUCACAUGCAAGAAAGACACUAAAGAAGCAAUCAUCGAAGCCAUCAAACAAGGUUACAGACACUUUGAUACUGCUGCUGCUUAUGGCUCCGAACAAGCUCUUGGUGAAGCUUUGAAUGAGGCUAUUCAACUUGGUCUUGUCACUAGAGAACAGCUUUUUGUUACUUCUAAACUCUGGGUUACUGAAAAUCAUCCUCACCUUGUUCUUCCUGCUCUACAAAAAUCUCUCAAGUAAGUAAACUAGAAUUAGUCACUUUUGUUAUCUCUAUCGCGAAAGAGACUUAUUGGAUUUGUUGAUUAUUUUGUGCAGGACUCUUCAGUUGGAUUACUUGGAUUUGUAUUUGAUUCAUUGGCCACUUAGUUCUCAGCCCGGAAAGUUUUCAUUUCCAAUUGAUGUGGCUGAUCUACUACCAUUUGAUGUAAAAGGUGUGUGGGAAUCCAUGGAAGAAGCUUUGAGACUUGGACUCACGAAAGCUAUUGGUGUCAGUAACUUCUCUGUCAAGAAACUUCAAAAGCUACUAUCUGUUGCCACUGUUCUUCCUGCUGUUAAUCAAGUAAGUCAUUAACCAAUCAUGAAUUUAGAUUAAAACUUUGAUUGAUUAUCAAUAUGUAUUUAUAUAAUGUACUUGUGUAUGUAUGUAUAGGUGGAGAUGAACCUUGCAUGGCAACAAAAGAAGCUGAGAGAGUUUUGCAAUGAAAAUGGAAUAGUGUUAACUGCAUAUUCACCGUUGAGGAAAGGUGCAAGUAGAGGAGCCAAUGAGGUUAUGGAGAAUGAUAUGCUUAAACAGAUUGCAGAUGCUCAUGGAAAGUCCGUUGCACAAAUUUCUCUGAGAUGGUUAUAUGAACAAGGAAUCACUUUUGUUCCAAAGAGCUAUGAUAAGGAGAGAAUGAGUCAAAAUUUGAGUAUCUUUGAUUGGACACUGACAAAGGAGGAUCAUGAGAAAAUUGAUCAAAUUAAGC